Molecule: long non-coding RNA, 1990 nt
Filed under: Xyrichtys novacula (pearly razorfish)
Lineage: Eukaryota; Metazoa; Chordata; Actinopteri; Labriformes; Labridae
Source: RNAcentral
CAGAGGAGGAUGUGGCGUCUAAGAAAACCAAUCAGGACAGUUUCCCUCGUCCCUUUAGUCCACCUUGAACUGGCUCAGGUCCAGAGACGUCUCUGGUGUUCCUGAACCUCUAAUGAAAGAGUGUAUUUUCACUUUGUUUUGAACCUCAGAGAGAGUUCAGUCCUAAAAACCUCCGUCUCUCAUGAAUGAGCAGAGUGAUCUGAAGAUUGCUCCGUAGUUUGUCUUUUGUUCGGAUUAGUGGAAACGCUCUCGCUCUGCGCUGCGUCGGAGGUUUAAAGACCUUUGAAAACCUUCUUUGUAAGUCAAUCACGCUGUUAUUAUUACAGGUUAUCAGUUCCUGUUCCUCUCGUCUCUCUCACUCCCUCUGAGCUCAGAAGUUCUCCCUGACUUGUCAUGUCAGGAGGACGUUGACGUCAGAUCCUGAUAAACUUCAGUAAUGAACUUUUCCUCGAAGAACUCGUUCACCUGGACCUCUAUUUUAUUCUCUGACCGCUCGUUCAGCUUCAUUCACAUCUCCUUUAACCUGCCUCUGUUUGUCCAGUUUCCACCAUCAUCCCCAUUAUCCCCUCCAUACUGGACUUCCUGUUUCCUUUUAUGGAGGACUUUGAUUUCCUGUUUCUAGGAUGGACUCCUCGAGAUGGACCGUCGGGUUUUUGAAGAGACAUCACAGCAUGAGAUUUCAGUCAGAUACAAAACAAAACCUGUGUGUGUGUGUGUGUGUGUGUGUGUGUGUGUGUGUGUGUGUGUGUGUGUGUGUGUGUGUGUGUGUGUGUGUGUGUGUUGGACUCGUGCUCGGGGUUAUGUAAGCCUUCAGGUGUUCAUUAAUCCAGAGGAAACUCAGAGACGGAGCAGAUGAUCACACAGAGGACUUCUGAGGUGUUACACUGUUUUGUGUGUUUAAAGUGUGUGUGUGUGUGUGUGUCUGUGUGUGUGUGUGUGUGUGUUGCCCUGUGGAGUCAUUUCCUCAUGGUGGGAAUCGUCCUUUAUUAAACACUUUAAUCCUAUUUUGACGACUCUGCAGGGUAAAACGAUAGCAGGCCAGGAAAUUAAACCGUGUGUGUGUGUGUGUGUGUGUGUGUGUGUGUGUGUGUGUGUGUGUGUGUGCAGGAAUGUGUUGGCCGCUCUUUCAGCAGCAGGAUGAUGAAUGAGAUGAAUGAACACAGUCUGUUUCGCAGGCGUCUCCGUCUCUCUGAUCGUUCCUGAUAUUUUUCACUCGUUCAUGUCGGAGGGUGAAUUCUGUCCUGAUUGAUCGAUGUUCUCCUGAUCUGCUCCGAAUCACUCGUAGAUAAAAACGUGAUGGACAGAAACUUCACUCUGCUUGAGACGGAGCGCUAACACAAACACGUCAGGCUCUCUUUAACACUUUUGACUGGGUGUUACAGUUUACACAGCUUUGUAGCUCUUCAAUAGCUAAAACUGACGUCUUUACAGGAAAGGUUUGAGGCUCGCAGUUGGUGUCAAGCCUUUGUUCUGCUGCGUUUCCACCGAAAAGGCUAAACACUGCAUGGGGUGCUACUUUUUACACAGCUAUGAAGUCAUGAAAUGACCAGAAUAUUUCUCAGGCCAGCUGUCAGUGUCCUCAUUAGCUCUGUUAUCAGCUGUUAUAAUGGUGUUUCCAGUCUCUGAGCUUCAUGAAGGUCUUUUAAGAUGAACAGCUCCAGGUUUCAGGACCAGCUGAGACUCUGAUCCAGCUCACCCUCGUCUUUGUUUCCAAAAGUGUCCUCAGUGAAGUGGCGAACACAAACAGCUACAACGAAGUAAUUAGUAAAUAAUUUCAUAUUUAAAUAUAAAAAAUGUCAUUGUAUGGUAAGAUAAAAAUUUAAUAUUUUGGUGUGAAAAAAAUAUAUUUUAAGAUGUUAUAGUGUAGUACGAUAAAGUAUAGGGUGAUUAAACGUUCACAUUUUAUUUUGGAAAAAUUUUGCUAUUUUGAUACUGGAAAUAAUGUCAUAGUAUAGUAUGUUAAAAAUUUCAAAUUUUAGUGUGAAAUUUU